ACGCUGGCGCGUGCCUAAUACAUGCAAGUCGAACGGUCUUUUCAUGGAAGCUUGCUUCACUGGGAAGAUAGUGGCGGACGGGUGAGUAACACGUGGGUAACCUGCCCAUAAGAGGGGGGAUAACAUCCGGAAACGGGUGCUAAUACCGCAUAGUUUUCUUGAUCGCAUGGUCGAGAAAGGAAAGACGGCCUUUGUGCUGUCGCUUAUGGAUGGACCCGCGGCGUAUUAGUUAGUUGGCGAGGUAACGGCUCACCAAGACGAUGAUACGUAGCCGACCUGAGAGGGUGAUCGGCCACAUUGGGACUGAGACACGGCCCAAACUCCUACGGGAGGCAGCAGUAGGGAAUCUUCCGCAAUGGACGAAAGUCUGACGGAGCAACGCCGCGUGAGUGAAGAAAAGGUUUUCGGAUCGUAAAACUCUGUUGUCAGAGAAGAACAAGUCGGAGAGUAACUGCUCCAGCCUUGACGGUAUCUGACCAGAAAGCCACGGCUAACUACGUGCCAGCCGCCGC
RNAcentral lists this ribosomal RNA (512 nucleotides) under uncultured bacterium. RNAcentral's name for it is "bacterial SSU rRNA". It matches the Rfam family "Bacterial small subunit ribosomal RNA", at positions 33 to 518 of the family's 1533-position model. The record is from RNAcentral.